UUGCACGCUGGCGGCAGGCCUAACACAUGCAAGUCGAACGGUAACAGAAAGCAGCUUGCUGCUUUGCUGACGAGUGGCGGCCGGGUGAGUAAUGUCUGGGAAACUGCCUGAUGGAGGGGGAUAACUACUGGAAACGGUAGCUAAUACCGCAUAACGUCGCAAGACCAAAGAGGGGGACCUUCGGGCCUCUUGCCAUCGGAUGUGCCCAGAUGGGAUUAGCUUGUUGGUGGGGUAACGGCUCACCAAGGCGACGAUCCCUAGCUGGUCUGAGAGGAUGACCAGCCACACUGGAACUGAGACACGGUCCAGACUCCUACGGGAGGCAGCAGUGGGGAAUAUUGCACAAUGGGCGCAAGCCUGAUGCAGCCAUGCCGCGUGUAUGAAGAAGGCCUUCGGGUUGUAAAGUACUUUCAGCGGGGAGGAAGGGAGUAAAGUUAAUACCUUUGCUCAUUGACGUUACCCGCAGAAGAAGCACCGGCUAACUCCGUG
RNAcentral lists this ribosomal RNA (489 nucleotides) under uncultured bacterium. Its description in RNAcentral is "partial 16S ribosomal RNA". It matches the Rfam family "Bacterial small subunit ribosomal RNA", at positions 30 to 507 of the family's 1533-position model. The record is from RNAcentral.